RNAcentral lists this RNase P RNA (352 nucleotides) under Deltaproteobacteria bacterium. Its description in RNAcentral is "RNase P RNA component class A". It matches the Rfam family "Bacterial RNase P class A". From Rfam's summary of the family: Ribonuclease P (RNase P) is a ubiquitous endoribonuclease, found in archaea, bacteria and eukarya as well as chloroplasts and mitochondria. Its best characterised activity is the generation of mature 5'-ends of tRNAs by cleaving the 5'-leader elements of precursor-tRNAs. Cellular RNase Ps are ribonucleoproteins. The record is from RNAcentral. Lineage: Bacteria; Pseudomonadati; Myxococcota; Myxococcia.
GGAGCCGGACAGGCCAUCGCUGCGACGCGAGUCGGAGAGGAAAGUCCGGGCUCCAUAGGGCGGGACGCUGGGUAACGCCCAGAGGGGGCGACCCCUGGAGAGUGCCACAGAGAGCAGACCGCCGGCGUUUGCCGGUAAGGGUGAAAGGGUGGGGCAAGAGCCCACCAGGUUGCGCGGCGACGCGCAAGGCUAGGUAAACCCCGUCCGGAGCAAGACCAAAUAGGGAGGCGCAUGGGCCGGCCCGGCCCGGCCUCCGGGUAGGUUGCUUGAGGCGGCGGGCGACCGCCGUCCUAGAGGAAUGAUGGCCGCUCCCACCGGAGGACAGAACCCGGCUUAUAGUCCGGCUCCCGAA